This 403-nucleotide ribosomal RNA is filed under the name uncultured bacterium. RNAcentral's name for it is "partial 16S ribosomal RNA". It matches the Rfam family "Bacterial small subunit ribosomal RNA", at positions 30 to 526 of the family's 1533-position model. The record is from RNAcentral.
AUUGAACGCUGGCGGCAGGCCUAACACAUGCAAGUCGAGCGAGCGGCGGACGGGGGAGUAAUGUAUGGGGACUGCCCGAAAGAGGGGGAAAACUACUGGAAACGGUAGCUAAUACCGCAUACUAUCGGAUAACCCAUAUUGGAUUAGCGAGUAGGUGAGGGAAUGGCUCACCUAGGCGACGAUCCCUAGCUGGUCUGAGAGGAUGAUCAGCCACACGGGGACGUAGACACGGCCCAGCCUCCUACGGAGGCAGCAGUGGGGAAUAUUGCAGAAUGGGCGCAAGCCUGUUGCAGCCAUGCCGCGUGUAUGAAGAAGGCCCUCGGGUUGUAAAGUACUUUCAGUCGGGAGGCGUUACCGACAGAAGAAGCACCGGCUAACUCCGUGCCAGCAGCCGCGGUAAUAC